This 467-nucleotide ribosomal RNA is filed under the name uncultured bacterium. RNAcentral describes it as "partial 16S ribosomal RNA". It matches the Rfam family "Bacterial small subunit ribosomal RNA", at positions 28 to 507 of the family's 1533-position model. The record is from RNAcentral.
GACGAACGCUGGCGGCGUGCUUAACACAUGCAAGUCGAACGAUGACGACCGAGCUUGCUCGGUCUGAUUAGUGGCGAACGGGUGAGUAACACGUGAGCAACCUGCCCUUCACUCUGGGAUAACCUCGGGAAAUCGGGGCUAAUACCGGAUAUGAGCUCCUGUCGCAUGGCGGGUGUUGGAAAGUUUUUCGGUGAAGGAUGGGCUCGCGGCCUAUCAGUUUGUUGGUGAGGUAGUGGCUCACCAAGGCGAUGACGGGUAGCCGGCCUGAGAGGGCGACCGGCCACACUGGGACUGAGACACGGCCCAGACUCCUACGGGAGGCAGCAGUGGGGAAUAUUGCACAGUGGGCGAAAGCCUGAUGCAGCGACGCCGCGUGAGGGAUGACGGCCUUCGGGUUGUAAACCUCUUUCAGCAGGGAAGAAGCGAAAGUGACGGUACCUGCAGAAGAAGCGCCGGCUAACUACGUG